RNAcentral lists this ribosomal RNA (680 nucleotides) under Salmonella enterica subsp. enterica serovar Senftenberg. RNAcentral describes it as "bacterial SSU rRNA". It matches the Rfam family "Bacterial small subunit ribosomal RNA", at positions 865 to 1533 of the family's 1533-position model. Lineage: Bacteria; Pseudomonadati; Pseudomonadota; Gammaproteobacteria; Enterobacterales; Enterobacteriaceae. The record is from RNAcentral.
UAGACCGCCUGGGGAGUACGGCCGCAAGGUUAAAACUCAAAUGAAUUGACGGGGGCCCGCACAAGCGGUGGAGCAUGUGGUUUAAUUCGAUGCAACGCGAAGAACCUUACCUGGUCUUGACAUCCACGGAAGAAUCCAGAGAUGGAUUUGUGCCUUCGGGAACCGUGAGACAGGUGCUGCAUGGCUGUCGUCAGCUCGUGUUGUGAAAUGUUGGGUUAAGUCCCGCAACGAGCGCAACCCUUAUCCUUUGUUGCCAGCGGUUAGGCCGGGAACUCAAAGGAGACUGCCAGUGAUAAACUGGAGGAAGGUGGGGAUGACGUCAAGUCAUCAUGGCCCUUACGACCAGGGCUACACACGUGCUACAAUGGCGCAUACAAAGAGAAGCGACCUCGCGAGAGCAAGCGGACCUCAUAAAGUGCGUCGUAGUCCGGAUUGGAGUCUGCAACUCGACUCCAUGAAGUCGGAAUCGCUAGUAAUCGUGGAUCAGAAUGCCACGGUGAAUACGUUCCCGGGCCUUGUACACACCGCCCGUCACACCAUGGGAGUGGGUUGCAAAAGAAGUAGGUAGCUUAACCUUCGGGAGGGCGCUUACCACUUUGUGAUUCAUGACUGGGGUGAAGUCGUAACAAGGUAACCGUAGGGGAACCUGCGGUUGGAUCACCUCCUUACCUGAAAGAAGC